Molecule: ribosomal RNA, 497 nt
Filed under: uncultured bacterium
Lineage: Bacteria
Description: partial 16S ribosomal RNA
Rfam family: Bacterial small subunit ribosomal RNA
Source: RNAcentral
GAUGAACGCUGGCGGCGUGCCUAAUACAUGCAAGUCGAGCGAACGGACGAGAAGCUUGCUUUUCUGAUGUUAGCGGCGGACGGGUGAGUAACACGUGGAUAACCUACCUAUAAGACUGGGAUAACUUCGGGAAACCGGAGCUAAUACCGGAUAAUAUUUUGAACCGCAUGGUUCAAAAGUGAAAGACGGUCUUGCUGUCACUUAUAGAUGGAUCCGCGCUGCAUUAGCUAGUUGGUAAGGUAACGGCUUACCAAGGCAACGAUGCAUAGCCGACCUGAGAGGGUGAUCGGCCACACUGGAAGUGAGACACGGUCCAGACUCCUACGGGAGGCAGCAGUAGGGAAUCUUCCGCAAUGGGCGAAAGCCUGACGGAGCAACGCCGCGUGAGUGAUGAAGGUCUUCGGAUCGUAAAACUCUGUUAUUAGGGAAGAACAUAUGUGUAAGUAACUGUGCACAUCUUGACGGUACCUAAUCAGAAAGCCACGGCUAACUACGUG